GCAAAUUACCCACUCCCGGCACGGGGAGGUAGUGACAAAAAUAACGAUACGGGACUCAUCCGAGGCCCCGUAAUCGGAAUGAGCACACUUUAAAUCCUUUAACGAGUAUCCAUUGGAGGGCAAGUCUGGUGCCAGCAGCCGCGGUAAUUCCAGCUCCAAUAGCGUAUAUUAAAGUUGUUGCGGUUAAAAAGCUCGUAGUCGGACUUGUGUCACACGCUGCCGGUUCACCGCCCGUCGGUGUUUAACUGGCAUGCACGUGCUGACGUCCUGCCGGUGGCCCGAGCCGGGCCGGGAGCUCUGGGCGCGGGUUCCCUUUAGGGUCCCCGCCUCGAACCCGGUCUCUGGGGAAGGCCUACUCAUACCCCUCGUGGUGCUCUUAACCGGGUGUUUCGAUGGGCCGGCACGUUUACUUUGAACAAAUUAGAGUGCUUAAAGCAGGCAGCAUCCGCCUGAAUACUGAGUGCAUGGAAUAAUGGAAUAGGACCUCGGUUCUAUUUUGUUGGUUUUCGGAAUCCCCGAGGUAAUGAUCAAUAGGGACAGACGGGGGCAUUCGUAUUGCGACGUUAGAGGUGAAAUUCUUGGAUCGUCGCAAGACGGACCGAAGCGAAAGCAUUUGCCAAGAAUGUUUUCUCUGAUCAAGAACGAAAGUUAGAGGUUCGAAGGCGAUCAGAUACCGCCCUAGUUCUAACCAUAAACGAUGCCAGCCAGCAAUCCGCCGAAGUUCCUCCGAUGACUCGGCGGGCGGCUUCCGGGAAACCAAAGCUUUUGGGUUCCGGGGGAAGUAUGGUUGCAAAGCUGAAACUUAAAGGAAUUGACGGAAGGGCACCACCAGGAGUGGAGCCUGCGGCUUAAUUUGACUCAACACGGGAAACCUCACCAGGCCCGGACACCGGGAGGAUUGACAGAUUGAGAGCUCUUUCUUGAUUCGGUGGGUGGUGGUGCAUGGCCGUUCUUAGUUGGU
This 961-nucleotide ribosomal RNA is filed under the name Schultesia lampyridiformis. Its description in RNAcentral is "SSU rRNA". It matches the Rfam family "Eukaryotic small subunit ribosomal RNA", at positions 436 to 1302 of the family's 1831-position model. Lineage: Eukaryota; Metazoa; Arthropoda; Insecta; Blattodea; Blaberidae. The record is from RNAcentral.